RNAcentral lists this ribosomal RNA (510 nucleotides) under uncultured bacterium. RNAcentral's name for it is "bacterial SSU rRNA". It matches the Rfam family "Bacterial small subunit ribosomal RNA", at positions 353 to 863 of the family's 1533-position model. The record is from RNAcentral.
AGUGAGGAAUAUUGCACAAUGGACGAAAGUCUGAUGCAGCCAUGCCGCGUGCAGGACGACGGCCCUACGGGUUGUAAACUGCUUUUAUACAGGAAGAAACCCCUUUACGUGUAAAGGGCUGACGGUACUGUAAGAAUAAGGACCGGCUAACUCCGUGCCAGCAGCCGCGGUAAUACGGAGGGUCCGAGCGUUAUCCGGAUUUAUUGGGUUUAAAGGGUGCGUAGGCGGAACUUUAAGUCAGUGGUGAAAUCCUACAGCUCAACUGUAGAAUUGCCAUUGAUACUGAUGUUCUUGAAUAUAGCUGAAGUGGGCGGAAUGUGUCAUGUAGCGGUGAAAUGCAUAGAUAUGACACAGAACACCAAUUGCGAAGGCAGCUCACUAAACUAUUAUUGACGCUGAGGCACGAAAGCGUGGGGAGCGAACAGGAUUAGAUACCCUGGUAGUCCACGCCGUAAACGAUGAUAACUCGAUGCUGGCGAUAUACGGUCAGUGUCUGAGCGAAAGCAUUAA